AACGAACGCUGGCGGCAUGCCUAACACAUGCAAGUCGAACGAGACCUUCGGGUCUAGUGGCGCACGGGUGCGUAACGCGUGGGAACCUGCCCUUAGGUUCGGAAUAACUCCCCGAAAGGGGUGCUAAUACCGGAUAAUGUCUUCGGACCAAAGAUUUAUCGCCUUUGGAUGGGCCCGCGUUGGAUUAGCUAGUUGGUAGGGUAAAAGCCUACCAAGGCGACGAUCCAUAGCUGGUCUGAGAGGAUGAUCAGCCACACUGGGACUGAGACACGGCCCAGACUCCUCCGGGAGGCAGCAGUGGAGAAUAUUGGACAAAGGGCGAAAGCCUGAUCCAGCAAUGCCGCGUGAGUGAUGAAGGCCUUAGGGUUGUAAAGCUCUUUUACCCGGGAUGAUAAUGACAGUACCGGGAGAAUAAGCUCCGGCUAACUCCGUG
This 433-nucleotide ribosomal RNA is filed under the name uncultured bacterium. Its description in RNAcentral is "partial 16S ribosomal RNA". It matches the Rfam family "Bacterial small subunit ribosomal RNA", at positions 29 to 507 of the family's 1533-position model. The record is from RNAcentral.